GAUGAACGCUGGCGGCGUGCCUAAUACAUGCAAGUCGAGCGAACAGACGAGGAGCUUGCUCCUCUGACGUUAGCGGCGGACGGGUGAGUAACACGUGGAUAACCUACCUAUAAGACUGGGAUAACUUCGGGAAACCGGAGCUAAUACCGGAUAAUAUAUUGAACCGCAUGGUUCAAUAGUGAAAGACGGUUUUGCUGUCACUUAUAGAUGGAUCCGCGCCGCAUUAGCUAGUUGGUAAGGUAACGGCUUACCAAGGCGACGAUGCGUAGCCGACCUGAGAGGGGGAUCGGCCACACUUGAACUGAGACACGCUCCAGACUCCUACGGGAGGCAGCAGUAGGGAAUCUUCCGCAAUGGGCGAAAGCCUGACGGAGCAACGCCGCGUGAGGGAUGAAGGUCUUCGGAGCGUAAAACUCUGUUAUUAGGGAAGAACAAAUGUGUAAGUAACUAUGCACGUCUUGACGGUACCUAAUCAGAAAGCCACGGCUAACUACGUG
Molecule: ribosomal RNA, 497 nt
Filed under: uncultured bacterium
Lineage: Bacteria
Description: partial 16S ribosomal RNA
Rfam family: Bacterial small subunit ribosomal RNA
Source: RNAcentral